Molecule: transfer RNA, 73 nt
Filed under: Rhipicephalus microplus (southern cattle tick)
Lineage: Eukaryota; Metazoa; Arthropoda; Arachnida; Ixodida; Ixodidae
Description: tRNA-Phe
Rfam family: tRNA
About the family: Transfer RNA (tRNA) molecules are approximately 80 nucleotides in length. Their secondary structure includes four short double-helical elements and three loops (D, anti-codon, and T loops). Further hydrogen bonds mediate the characteristic L-shaped molecular structure. tRNAs have two regions of fundamental functional importance: the anti-codon, which is responsible for specific mRNA codon recognition, and the 3' end, to which the tRNAs corresponding amino acid is attached (by aminoacyl-tRNA synthetases). tRNAs cope with the degeneracy of the genetic code in two manners: having more than one tRNA (with a specific anti-codon) for a particular amino acid; and 'wobble' base-pairing, i.e. permitting non-standard base-pairing at the 3rd anti-codon position.
Source: Rfam by way of RNAcentral
GCCGAAUUAGCUUAGUUGGGAGAGCGUUAGACUGAAGACCAAAAGGUCCCUGGUUCGAUCCCGGGUUUCGGCA